GGGGAGCAAACAGGAUUAGAUACCCUGGUAGUCCACGCCGUAAACGAUGAUCAUUAGUUGGUGGCAAAAGUCACUAGCACAGCUAACGCGUUAAAUGAUCCGCCUGAGUAGUAUGCUCGCAAGAGUGAAACUUAAAGGAAUUGACGGGAACCCGCACAAGCGGUGGAGCAUGUGGUUUAAUUUGAAGAUACGCGUAGAACCUUACCCACUCUUGACAUCCUCGCAAAACUAUAGAGAUAUAGCGGAGGUUAACAGAGUGACAGAUGGUGC
RNAcentral lists this ribosomal RNA (270 nucleotides) under Mesomycoplasma ovipneumoniae. RNAcentral describes it as "Mycoplasma ovipneumoniae partial 16S ribosomal RNA". It matches the Rfam family "Bacterial small subunit ribosomal RNA", at positions 763 to 1044 of the family's 1533-position model. Lineage: Bacteria; Bacillati; Mycoplasmatota; Mycoplasmoidales; Metamycoplasmataceae. The record is from RNAcentral.